GCGUAAUAGCUCACUGGUCGAGUCGGCCUGCGCGGAAGAUGUAACGGGGCUAAACCAUGCACCGAAGCUGCGGCAGCGACGCUUAUGCGUUGUUGGGUAGGGGAGCGUUCUGUAAGCCUGUGAAGGUAUACUGUGAGGUAUGCUGGAGGUAUCAGAAGUGCGAAUGCUGACAUAAGUAACGAUAAAGCGGGUGAAAAGCCCGCUCGCCGGAAGACCAAGGGUUCCUGUCCAACGUUAAUCGGGGCAGGGUGAGUC
RNAcentral lists this ribosomal RNA (255 nucleotides) under Escherichia coli. RNAcentral describes it as "partial 23S ribosomal RNA". It matches the Rfam family "Bacterial large subunit ribosomal RNA", at positions 1132 to 1385 of the family's 2925-position model. The record is from RNAcentral. Lineage: Bacteria; Pseudomonadati; Pseudomonadota; Gammaproteobacteria; Enterobacterales; Enterobacteriaceae.